GAAAUGCGAUAAGUAAUGUGAAUUGCAGAAUUCAGUGAAUCAUCGAAUCUUUGAACGCACCUUGCGCUCCUUGGUAUUCCUUGGAGCAUGCCUGUUUGAGUAUCAUGAAAUCUUCAAAGUAAAUCUUUUGUUAACUCAAUUGGUUUCUACUUUGGUAUUGGAGGUCUUUGCAGCUUCACACCUGCUCCUCUUUGUUCAUUAGCUGGAUCUCAGUGUUAUGCUUGGUUCCACUCGGCGUGAUAAGUUAUCUAUCGCUGAGGACACUGUAAAAGGUGGCCAAGGUAAAUGCAGAUGAACCGCUUCUAAUAGUCCAUUGACUUGGACAAUACUUUUAUGAUCUGAUCUCAAAUCAGGUAGUACUACCCGUUUAACUUAAGC
RNAcentral lists this unclassified non-coding RNA (378 nucleotides) under plant metagenome. RNAcentral describes it as "partial contains 5.8S ribosomal RNA, internal transcribed spacer 2, and large subunit ribosomal RNA". The stretch from base 1 to 105 matches the Rfam family "5.8S ribosomal RNA", at positions 50 to 154 of the family's 154-position model. The record is from RNAcentral.